CUUGGGACCCACUGCUGGAUGAUCAGAGCCCUUGGCCUUUGGAGAUUAUUCUUCAGUGAGCUUGGCUUGCCCUGUCAUUCUUCCAGUGCAUUGUUCCUGGAUUUCUCAAUUCUGGUACCUCAAGGGAAACUAUGCCAUGUUAAAA
Molecule: long non-coding RNA, 145 nt
Organism: Aethalodelphis obliquidens (Pacific white-sided dolphin)
Lineage: Eukaryota; Metazoa; Chordata; Mammalia; Artiodactyla; Delphinidae
Exons: 2
Source: RefSeq, a predicted model, not a curated record